CCCCCAUUCCCUUCUGUCCCUCCCAUCAAAAAGUUUAUGGCGGCUGCGCCGUUCUUCCCACCAGCACCGACUGAUGCUUCAUUCGAAGCCAGAUUUGAUUGCGGGGGAGGUGGAAAGGCGACCGACAACGAGGGGCCUCUACACGACAGCGCCUCUGCGACCACGAUGACAUCUUAGUAUCACUCUCACAUGGUUCCAGCAGCCAGGGCAACCACAUCGCCAGGAGAUUGUAGGCUCUGGGAGGGAUUCAGAUUUGUUUGUUGAUUGGAAGAAGAAGAAGAUGAUCCCUGUUACUCCUCAAGAAGAUCUGCUCUCUGCUUCCUCUGCUUCAGAAAGUGACGACGACAACGAGGACACCGACAUGAGUUCUGGUUUUGGCAUGUGAGCUUGUGGGUUUCUCUAUGAAGUUCCUUUUGGCGCUCAUGAUUCUAUCCUUUCCUAUGUGCUUUUGACAAAUGAAUUCUGAAAACUUUGUGAUGCAUGUAAUGGACUAUGGACAUGCUGCUGUUGUUACUGAACGUAAGCGUCGAACUGCUGAUGUUAUGCUUGAUGCAAGUCUUGAUUUUGUAUUUCUAUUUA
Long non-coding RNA from Triticum aestivum (bread wheat), 579 nucleotides. RefSeq lists it as uncharacterized. The record is from RefSeq and is a predicted model, not a curated record. The transcript is spliced from 2 exons. NCBI's taxonomy places the organism in Eukaryota, Viridiplantae, Streptophyta, Magnoliopsida, Poales, Poaceae.